This 375-nucleotide ribosomal RNA is filed under the name uncultured eukaryote. Its description in RNAcentral is "partial 18S ribosomal RNA". It matches the Rfam family "Eukaryotic small subunit ribosomal RNA", at positions 592 to 976 of the family's 1831-position model. The record is from RNAcentral.
CAAUGGCGUAUAUUAAAGUUGUUGCAGUUAAAAAGCUCGUAGUUGGAUUUCUGGUUGGUACGGACGGUCCCGAGCAAUCGGCGAACUGUGUGUGCUGACCUUCCUCUCGGGGGCUGCGUGGUGCUUCAUUGUGCUGCGUGGAAUUCGAGACCUUUACUUUGAAAAAAUUAGAGUGUUCAAAGCAGGCCUUUGCUUGAAUACAUUAGCAUGGAAUAAUGGAAUAGGACUUUUGUUCUAUUUUGUUGGUUUCUAGGACAGAAGUAAUGAUUAAUAGGGACAGUUGGGGGCAUUAGUAUUUAAUUGUCAGAGGUGAAAUUCUUGGAUUUAUGAAAGACUAACUACUGCGAAAGCGUUUGCCAAGGAUGUUUUCAUUAA